UACGAAGGGUGCAAGCGUUAAUCGGAAUUACUGGGCGUAAAGCGUGCGUAGGCGGUCUUUUAAGUCCGAUGUGAAAGCCCUGGGCUCAACCUGGGAAUGGCACUGGAUACUGGAAGGCUAGAGUACGGUAGAGGAGGGUGGAAUUCCCGGUGUAGCGGUGAAAUGCGUAGAGAUCGGGAGGAACAUCAGUGGCGAAAGCGACUUCCUGGACCAAUACUGACGCUCAUGUGCGAAAGCGUGGGGAGCAAACAGG
RNAcentral lists this ribosomal RNA (253 nucleotides) under uncultured bacterium. RNAcentral's name for it is "partial 16S ribosomal RNA". It matches the Rfam family "Bacterial small subunit ribosomal RNA", at positions 524 to 776 of the family's 1533-position model. The record is from RNAcentral.